GUCCCUGUAGCGCAAUGGAUAACGUGUUGAACUGCUAAUCCAAAGAUCGUGGGUUCGAAUCCUACCUGGGAUG
Molecule: transfer RNA, 73 nt
Filed under: Trichonephila inaurata madagascariensis
Lineage: Eukaryota; Metazoa; Arthropoda; Arachnida; Araneae; Nephilidae
Rfam family: tRNA
About the family: Transfer RNA (tRNA) molecules are approximately 80 nucleotides in length. Their secondary structure includes four short double-helical elements and three loops (D, anti-codon, and T loops).
Source: Rfam by way of RNAcentral